CCCUUAGAUGUCCUGGGCCGCACGCGCGCUACACUGACACACGCAGCGAGUUUUCCUUGUCCGAAAGGUCCGGGUAAUCUUGUAAAUGUGUGUCGUGAUAGGGAUAGAUUAUUGCAAUUAUUAAUCUUGAACGAGGAAUUCCUAGUAAAUGCAAGUCAUCAGCUUGCGUUGAUUACGUCCCUGCCCUUUGUACACACCGCCCGUCGCACCUACCGAUUGAAUGAUUCGGUGAAACCUUCGGACCGUAGCUAGGACGCCUCUGGCGACUUAGCCGUGGGAAGUUGUUUAAACCUCAUCAUUUAGAGGAAGGUGAAGUCGUAACA
RNAcentral lists this ribosomal RNA (323 nucleotides) under uncultured eukaryote. RNAcentral's name for it is "partial 18S ribosomal RNA". It matches the Rfam family "Eukaryotic small subunit ribosomal RNA", at positions 1470 to 1796 of the family's 1831-position model. The record is from RNAcentral.